CCUACGGGUGGCAGCAGUGAGGAAUAUUGGUCAAUGGACGAGAGUCUGAACCAGCCAAGUAGCGUGAAGGAUGACUGCCCUAUGGGUUGUAAACUUCUUUUAUAUGGGAAUAAAAUGUUCCACGUGUGGGAUUUUGUAUGUACCAUAUGAAUAAGGAUCGGCUAACUCCGUGCCAGCAGCCGCGGUAAUACGGAGGAUCCGAGCGUUAUCCGGAUUUAUUGGGUUUAAAGGGAUCGUAGGUGGAUUGUUAAGUCAGUUGUGAAAGUUUGCGGCUCAAACGUAAAAUUGCAGUUGAAACUGGCAGUCUUGAGUACAGUAGAGGUGGGCGGAAUGCGUGGUGUAGCGGUGAAAUGCUUAGAUAUCACGAAGAACUCCGAUUGCGAAGGCAGUUCACUGGACUGAAACUGACACUGAGGCUCGAAAGUGUGGGUAUCAAACAGGAUUAGAUACCCCUGUAGUC
This 460-nucleotide ribosomal RNA is filed under the name uncultured bacterium. RNAcentral's name for it is "partial 16S ribosomal RNA". It matches the Rfam family "Bacterial small subunit ribosomal RNA", at positions 338 to 795 of the family's 1533-position model. The record is from RNAcentral.